This 497-nucleotide ribosomal RNA is filed under the name uncultured bacterium. RNAcentral's name for it is "partial 16S ribosomal RNA". It matches the Rfam family "Bacterial small subunit ribosomal RNA", at positions 28 to 507 of the family's 1533-position model. The record is from RNAcentral.
GAUGAACGCUGGCGGCGUGCCUAAUACAUGCAAGUCGUGCGAACGGACGAGAAGCUUGCUUCUCUGAUGUUAGCGGCGGACGGGUGAGUAACACGUGGAUAACCUACCUAUAAGACUGGGAUAACUUCGGGAAACCGGAGCUAAUACCGGAUAAUAUUUUGAACCGCAUGGUUCAAAAGUGAAAGACGGUCUUGCUGUCACUUAUAGAUGGAUCCGCGCUGCAUUAGCUAGUUGGUAAGGUAACGGCUUACCAAGGCAACGAUGCAUAGCCGACCUGAGAGGGUGAUCGGCCACACUGGAACUGAGACACGGUCCAGACUCCUACGGGAGGCAGCAGUAGGUAAUCUUCCGCAAUGGGCGAAAGCCUGACGGAGCAACGCCGCGUGAGUGAUGAAGGUCUUCGGAUCGUAAAACUCUGUUAUUAGGGAAGAACAUAUGUGUAAGUAACUGUGCACAUCUUGACGGUACCUAAUCAGAAAGCCACGGCUAACUACGUG